Rhipicephalus sanguineus (brown dog tick) is the source of this 254-nucleotide long non-coding RNA. RefSeq lists it as uncharacterized. NCBI's taxonomy places the organism in Eukaryota, Metazoa, Arthropoda, Arachnida, Ixodida, Ixodidae. The record is from RefSeq and is a predicted model, not a curated record. The transcript has 3 exons.
AGAGUGGCACUGGGACCAGCGAAUUGCAUCCAUCUACAGCUGGCAUAGAGGCUUCCUGUCAAGUGCAGAUCUGCAAAUGCAGCUCUCCUACUAAGUGGCGCACUAUUGCAACUCAGGCUGCCAUUAUCACCAAGACUGUUUCUACAGAAACAUCACACAAGGAGACGCUGAAAAAAGAUGCUACCACACAAGUCAACUUCAACACCCGUGGCUGCAAAGAAAUGGGCACGCAGACCGACACUCGCACGCCUCUU